UAAGGAAUAUUGGUCAAUGGGCGCAAGCCUGAACCAGCCAUGCCGCGUGCAGGAAGACGGCCCUACGGGUUGUAAACUGCUUUUGUACCGGAAUAAACCUUUUCACGUGUGAGAAGCUGAAUGUACGGUAAGAAUAAGGAUCGGCUAACUCCGUGCCAGCAGCCGCGGUAAUACGGAGGAUCCAAGCGUUAUCCGGAUUUAUUGGGUUUAAAGGGUGCGUAGGCGGUUCUUUAAGUCAGGGGUGAAAGACGGUAGCUUAACUAUCGCAGUGCCUUUGAUACUGAAGAACUUGAAUACACUUGAGGUAGGCGGAAUGUGACAAGUAGCGGUGAAAUGCAUAGAUAUGUCACAGAACACCAAUUGCGAAGGCAGCUUACUAAAGUGUCAUUGACGCUGAGGCACGAAAGCGUGGGGAUCAAACA
RNAcentral lists this ribosomal RNA (422 nucleotides) under uncultured Mucilaginibacter sp. Its description in RNAcentral is "bacterial SSU rRNA". It matches the Rfam family "Bacterial small subunit ribosomal RNA", at positions 355 to 774 of the family's 1533-position model. The record is from RNAcentral. Lineage: Bacteria; Pseudomonadati; Bacteroidota; Sphingobacteriia; Sphingobacteriales; Sphingobacteriaceae.